This 343-nucleotide RNase P RNA is filed under the name uncultured Blautia sp. RNAcentral's name for it is "Bacterial RNase P class A". It matches the Rfam family "Bacterial RNase P class A". From Rfam's summary of the family: Ribonuclease P (RNase P) is a ubiquitous endoribonuclease, found in archaea, bacteria and eukarya as well as chloroplasts and mitochondria. Its best characterised activity is the generation of mature 5'-ends of tRNAs by cleaving the 5'-leader elements of precursor-tRNAs. Cellular RNase Ps are ribonucleoproteins. Lineage: Bacteria; Bacillati; Bacillota; Clostridia; Lachnospirales; Lachnospiraceae. The record is from RNAcentral.
GCGGACCAGGUGAUCGCGGCUGCACAGACGAAAGGGUGCAGACGAGGAAAGUCCGGGCUUCACAGGGCAGGAUGCCGGAUAACGUCCGGUGGAGGUGACUCCCAGACCAGUGCAACAGAAAUAAACCGCCUUCUGUAUGGAAGGUAAGGGUGGAAAGGCAGUGUAAGAGACUACCGCCUUUCUGGCAACAGAAAGGGCACAUGUAAACUCCAUUCGAAGCAAGACCAAAAAGAAAGCCAUACGGCGGCCCGUCGUGCUUUCAGGUAGGUCGCUUGAGCCAUUCGGCAACGGAUGGCCUAGAUAGAUGAUCACCCACGACAUAACCCGGCUUAUCGGUUCGCUU